Non-coding RNA from Chiloscyllium plagiosum (whitespotted bambooshark), 74 nucleotides. The record is from the annotation of a RefSeq genome assembly. Lineage: Eukaryota; Metazoa; Chordata; Chondrichthyes; Orectolobiformes; Hemiscylliidae.
GAUUAGUUAGCUCAGAUGGUUAGAGCACGGUGCUAAUAAUGCCAAGGUCGUGGAUUCAAUCCCCACACUGAUCA